Molecule: long non-coding RNA, 486 nt
Filed under: Sinocyclocheilus anshuiensis
Lineage: Eukaryota; Metazoa; Chordata; Actinopteri; Cypriniformes; Cyprinidae
Description: lncRNA (ENSSANG00000011091.1)
Source: RNAcentral
CAUGAUUUAAUUUCACGUUUCAGUUCUGUUUUGCGCUCGAAUACUAAACUUUCAAAAUGACAACUCGAAGUGCGGGGCGGAAAUGCGCUGCUUCGCUGUGAGCUCUGGUCUGUUUCCGUGUGAAAGUGUGAUUGCGAGAGAUUAAUGACCCAGAUCGACAUGAAAACAGGUCUUGCUGUUGGAAGGGUCUACUGACAUUUUGCGCUACAGAAAUCUGACUGACAUUGAGCAGUGCUGUGGUGCCAUGCGGCUGUGGUUUCAGGAGGUGUUUGUGUGGACGACUUUUCAUCUGUCUGCUCACAUUUCACAUCAUUUACCUCCCUGUAUUGCUGGGCUUUCUGUAACAUUUUUAGGGAAAGGUCCUCUUGCUUAGUUGGAAGAUGCCCAAUGCGGAGCCAAGGAUGCACAGGGGGAAAUGGCCCGUCCAAUUUACCUCACUGUACCUGGGCUGUCUGUGUUUUCUCUGCUCAGUCUCUGGUAAGCAGG